This 46-nucleotide transfer RNA is filed under the name Anopheles moucheti moucheti. Its description in RNAcentral is "partial tRNA-Leu". Lineage: Eukaryota; Metazoa; Arthropoda; Insecta; Diptera; Culicidae. The record is from RNAcentral.
AAUGAAUUUAAGCUUCAUAUAUAAAGAUUAUAUCUUUUAUUAGAAA